Unclassified non-coding RNA from Octopus bimaculoides (California two-spot octopus), 317 nucleotides. NCBI's taxonomy places the organism in Eukaryota, Metazoa, Mollusca, Cephalopoda, Octopoda, Octopodidae. The record is from RefSeq and is a predicted model, not a curated record.
GAUCUUUUUUUUAUUUUUCCAUUUAAAUGUAAAGGGUCGCCCAGUCCUAUGUGAACCAGAAGAAACUCGACACAGAGACAAAGAUCCUCCAGGCCAACGCUGCCCAUUUCGCCAAGAUGACCAUGCAGUGGCUAAAGUUAGUGGAAGACUUCAACACAGCAUUGAAGGAAAUUGGUGAUGUCGAGAAUUGGGCUCGUAACAUUGAGGCCGACAUGCGGACAAUAUCCAGUGCUUUAGAAUAUGCUUACCGUAAAACUGAAGAAAAUGAAGACACGUGACAAGAAUGAUGACCAUCACAUCACCUGACACCAUGUGCC